CUACGGGUGGCAGCAGUCGAGAAUCAUUCACAAUGGGGGAAACCCUGAUGGUGCGACGCCGCGUGGGGGAUAAGGUCUUCGGAUUGUAAACCCCUGUCAUGUGGGACAUUAAAAGAUAGUACCACAAGAGGAAGAGACGGCUAACUCUGUGCCAGCAGCCGCGGUAAUACAGAGGUCUCAAGCGUUGUUCGGAAUCACUGGGCGUAAAGCGUGCGUAGGCGGUUUCGUAAGUCGUGUGUGAAAGGCGGGGGCUCAACCCCCGGACUGCACAUGAUACUGCGAGACUAGAGUAAUGGAGGGGGAACCGGAAUUCUCGGUGUAGCAGUGAAAUGCGUAGAUAUCGAGAGGAACACUCGUGGCGAAGGCGGG
Molecule: ribosomal RNA, 369 nt
Filed under: uncultured bacterium
Lineage: Bacteria
Description: bacterial SSU rRNA
Rfam family: Bacterial small subunit ribosomal RNA
Source: RNAcentral